RNAcentral lists this ribosomal RNA (94 nucleotides) under Kurthia gibsonii. Lineage: Bacteria; Bacillati; Bacillota; Bacilli; Caryophanales; Caryophanaceae. The record is from RNAcentral. RNAcentral also lists the same sequence under 1 other name.
AUAGCAAAGAGGUUACACCUGUACCCAUACCGAACACAGAAGUUAAGCUCUUUAGCGCCGAUAGUAGUUAGAGGUUUCUCUUGCAAGGGUAGGA